This 468-nucleotide ribosomal RNA is filed under the name uncultured bacterium. RNAcentral's name for it is "partial 16S ribosomal RNA". It matches the Rfam family "Bacterial small subunit ribosomal RNA", at positions 28 to 507 of the family's 1533-position model. The record is from RNAcentral.
GACGAACGCUGGCGGCGUGCUUAACACAUGCAAGUCGAACGGACAGGCCCUGCUUUUGUGGGGUGCUCGAGUGGCGAACGGGUGAGUAACACGUGAGUAACCUGCACUUGACUUUGGGAUAACUUCAGGAAACUGGGGCUAAUACCGGAUAGGAGAUCCUGAUGCAUGGUGGGGGUUGGAAAGUUUCGGCGGUUGGGGAUGGACUCGCGGCUUAUCAGCUUGUUGGUGGGGUAGGUGCUUACCAAGGCUUUGACGGGUAGCCGGCCUGAGAGGGUGACCGGCCACAUUGGGACUGAGAGACGGACCAGACUCCUACGGGAGGCAGCAGUGGGGAAUAUUGCACAAUGGGCGGAAGCGUGAUGCAGCAACGCCGCGUGCGGGAUGACGGCUUUCUGGUUGUAAACCGCUUUCGCCUGAGACGAAGCGUGAGUGACGGUAAUGGGUAAAGAAGCACCGGCUAACUACGUG